RNAcentral lists this microRNA (22 nucleotides) under Nematostella vectensis (starlet sea anemone). Its description in RNAcentral is "nve-miR-2030-5p". Lineage: Eukaryota; Metazoa; Cnidaria; Anthozoa; Actiniaria; Edwardsiidae. RNAcentral also lists the same sequence under 1 other name. The record is from miRBase by way of RNAcentral.
UAGCAUAACAUUGUAAGAGAUU